UUCUUGAAGAGAAACAACUUUAUCAAGCCUGAGAUCCAGAGAAGUUUGAAGGAAAUUGCAAGAGAGAGAAAGAGGGGGGAGAGCGUUGUUAGAGCGCAGGGGGGAGGAGAGAGGAAGAGAGAGAGAGAGAGAGAGAGAGAGAGGAAGCAAGAGAAAGACAAGAGACGCAGAGAGAGAGAGACAGACGGACAGAUGGCAGAGAAAGCAUGCAGCAGUGGAGGAGAAACAAAGCGUGUUGACUGAGGAAGUGUGCAUGCCAUGCUGGCCAUGUGCUCGUGAACGUCCCGUCUACGUCUGCUCCUCCAGCGAGACUCCGACUCUUCUCAGCGCUGAGACAGUCAGCAGCUUUUUCUGCAAAAAGGCAAUCAGAAAAAGCGGACUGAUCCGGAGAGCUGAGCUGCACGCGACGAGAGGUGUCUGCAAAUCGGCUCUUUUUUUUCUACAACUUCAAACUCCCAACUGCUGCGAAACACCGAAGAAUACAGCCUCUCAAUCGUGCACAUCAUCGGUGGGAAGAAAGCAAAGACUGAGCUGAGCGUUCCUGUCCUGCUGGUAAGGAGAUCACACAUUAUCUAUGUUACUAACUGUUGCAGAGAAACUGUGAAUUCAGUAAUCAAGUGGGAAAGUUAACCCUGGCAGCAGGAGCCAGGCAUACAUGAGAUAUCUGUGUGUAAGAUUUCACACUGGGCCAAAAGACUUCAGGACAUUUUAAUGCAUCCACAUCACUCAUCAUUGUCCCUUCAUUCGAUCAAAAUCCUCCCCUGUAGCUGUGAUUUAAAGAUACCGCGGCUCAGUACAGUAGCCAUGUGCACACCAGACAUUUGACUUAAUGUAAACCCAGAAAAAUAACAAUCAGGCUGCAUGAUUCACAAACACACACAUCGAGCGUGUCCAGCCCACACACUCCCACGUGUUUCCCCUUCCUCUGCUCCCUCAGAUGUGAGGCACAUGACAUCAUUAAAAAAGGUGCUCUAAAAAAAUCAGUGUGGGUACUGCAUGUGGGAAGGCAGCGUGUGUGUGUGUGUGUGUGUGUGUUUUUGUGUUUCUGUGUGGGUGCUGGAAAUGAAAGCCAAAGCUCCAGAGCCGUGGGCCCGGUGCUGGCUGCGUGUGUGUGCCCAGCCGGAGGCUCUGGUCCUGGGCUGCGCUGCCUCCCACGCUGGGGUACGGCUGGGGCUCUGAGUGGGAGGAGGAGUGGGAGGGAGGAGUGGGCCGGGGCUGUGAGUCAGCCUGCUGAGAAGCCCCCAGAAUGGAGACACUGAGGGAAGAAACACAAGAGAGUCUCCUCUCCUUGCCGGCAUUUCGAAGAAACACUCAAGUUAAAAUGAGUUGUGUAUUCUUCUUGGUUGAUCAGACGGGGAUGGAAACAGUCUCAGAAAGUGUCUAAACUCUGCAGAAAAUCACACUGGCAUGCAGACAAGCUGCUGAGAGCUGAGAUGGCUGACGUAGUGAUGUAGCAAACGGUGCUAGGAGGAAGCCGGCAUCUUUCUUUGUUUUGCAUUUCAUUGGUGUUGAGGUAAACUUGGCUGAAUAAAUUAACUAACUCAAUCUUAACUUUUGAAUUAAAAAAACACAUUUUAGAAACCUUUUAGAUGCUUGUAAAAAGAUUAAAAUUACAAAAAGAUGCAUUUCACAAGUUAUAGUUAGUUACAUUUUAAACUUAAAAAAAAGAAAAUCAAACAAUAUCGAUACCAUAGCAACAAAAAUAUAGAGGUCCUCGACACCAAAUAUUCUGUAAUUUCUUGUUUUUAAAGAACAAAAGUUGCACACUGUCUUACUUGCACAAAUACUUUAGCAAUGUUUUAUUACCAAAAUAUUUAGACUAAGGCCCGACCGAUUUGGAAAAAUCCAGUACAGAUAAAUCUGCCAAUAUCUUUCCUUGAGCUAUGUUCCAUCUUUAGAGAAAGAUAGAUUUAGAUAUUCACAUUUAUUGCCUUAUCAAACACUUGUGGAAAAGAUUUAUAACGAAGACAAGAUGGUGACUCAACUGGAAAGUAACUGAGCAUGUACGUGCAUCACUGCUCGACACGCUGGGGAGUGAUGAUGCUUGUUGUAAUCCAUAUAGCGCCCUCUGCUGGUGAAAGAUAACUGCUAGUGUAAUACAAUGAAACUCAAAUUAAAAUGCUAUUUGACUUGUGAAUGAAUCCAGUUAUAGCGGCGCAUAUCUGCGAUAAAAUUAGCCGAUACUGAUAGUCACUUUAUACGCUAAUAUCGGCCGAUAUUAUCGGCAGGCAGAUGAAUCGGUCAGCUUUACUUUAGACAGUGUGCAGGAGCUUGCCUUCAAAUUUUAACGAGCUCUUUUCUCACACACAUAUCAUGAAAUAGGCAGUUUUCCAAAGCUUCAGUGCUUUUUCAUUGUGACUUUUAUUCAAAUAAAACAGACUGUAUCGGUUGAUAAUUCGUUGGAUCGAAAGUUCUGAAGGAGGACCAUUUCGACGACCUUAAGUUGAAUCGUUUAACGGGUCAUUUGUGUUUUGGUUAUAGCCAUAACACGGGGUUGGCUGAGGCUGUAGUGGAGAUGGAGCCCAGAGAUCCUGGAGACGCUCCUGACUCUCACUGUUGUUGCUUGAAGAUAAUUUGCGAUUUUGCUGAAGGAAGAAGCCGAACUCUACGCUGCAUGUUCAUCGAUGCUCCUGUGAUCACAUGCUUACAUUCUUCAUUUGUGUACGCAGUCCAUAAGUUAUAUGUGAUAUUUGAGAAAUCUGUGUCUGGUUUGUAAACAUGUGAAGUGUCUCAAAAGCUUUGAUGAUGUUUGGCUUCCAUCAAAGUCUGCAUGAAUUUGAGGGAUAAUAACAAGUGUAUCCCUCAUGAGCUCUUGACGAAUAAAGGCUUUAGUUUGUUGCACUACAGAGACAGUUUGAUUGGCAUUAUGUCAAAAAAAAAAAAAGAUCUAUACUGUAAUUGGGUUGUCGUCAUGUCAAACAUAUUUACAGAAAACAUUCAAUGUGAGCAUUUUGGAUGGAGAACCAAAGCUCCCUAGUUAUUACUC
Molecule: long non-coding RNA, 2986 nt
Organism: Labrus mixtus (cuckoo wrasse)
Lineage: Eukaryota; Metazoa; Chordata; Actinopteri; Labriformes; Labridae
Exons: 3
Source: RefSeq, a predicted model, not a curated record